RNAcentral lists this ribosomal RNA (253 nucleotides) under uncultured bacterium. Its description in RNAcentral is "partial 16S ribosomal RNA". It matches the Rfam family "Bacterial small subunit ribosomal RNA", at positions 524 to 776 of the family's 1533-position model. The record is from RNAcentral.
UACGUAGGGUGCAAGCGUUGUCCGGAAUUAUUGGGCGUAAAGAGCUCGUAGGUGGUCUGUCGCGUCUGGUGUGAAAACUCAGGGCUUAACCCUGGGCCUGCAUCGGGUACGGGCAGACUAGAGUGUGGUAGGGGAGACUGGAAUUCCUGGUGUAGCGGUGAAAUGCGCAGAUAUCAGGAGGAACACCGGUGGCGAAGGCGGGUCUCUGGGCCGAUACUGACGCUGAGGAGCGAAAGCGUGGGGAGCAAACAGG